GAUGAAGAACGUAGUGAAAUGCGAUAAGUAAUGUGAAUUGCAGAAUUCAGUGAAUCAUCGAAUCUUUGAACGCACAUUGCGCCCGCCAGUAUUCUGGCGGGCAUGCCUGUUCGAGCGCCAUUUCAACCAUCAAGCCCCAGGCUUGUGUUGGGGACCUGCGGCUGCCGCAGGCCCUGAAAACCAGUGGCGGGCUCGCUGUCACACCGGGCGUAGUAGAUUUUAUCUCGCUCAGGGCGUGCUGCGGGUUCCGGCCGUUAAAAAGCCUUUUUUACCCAAGGUUGACCUCGGAUCAGGUAGGAAGACCCGCUGAACUUAAGCAUAUCAAUAAGCGGAGGA
This 336-nucleotide unclassified non-coding RNA is filed under the name soil metagenome. RNAcentral describes it as "partial contains 5.8S ribosomal RNA, internal transcribed spacer 2, and large subunit ribosomal RNA". The stretch from base 1 to 120 matches the Rfam family "5.8S ribosomal RNA", at positions 35 to 154 of the family's 154-position model. The record is from RNAcentral.